CCUACGGGAGGCAGCAGUGGGGAAUAUUGCACAAUGGGCGCAAGCCUGAUGCAGCCAUGCCGCGUGUGUGAAGAAGGCCUUCGGGUUGUAAAGCACUUUCAGUCGUGAGGAAGGCGGUGUAGUUAAUAGCUGCAUCGUUUGACGUUAGCGACAGAAGAAGCACCGGCUAACUCCGUGCCAGCAGCCGCGGUAAU
This 194-nucleotide ribosomal RNA is filed under the name gamma proteobacterium P20. RNAcentral's name for it is "partial 16S ribosomal RNA". It matches the Rfam family "Bacterial small subunit ribosomal RNA", at positions 338 to 524 of the family's 1533-position model. The record is from RNAcentral. Lineage: Bacteria; Pseudomonadati; Pseudomonadota; Gammaproteobacteria.